This 497-nucleotide ribosomal RNA is filed under the name uncultured bacterium. Its description in RNAcentral is "partial 16S ribosomal RNA". It matches the Rfam family "Bacterial small subunit ribosomal RNA", at positions 28 to 507 of the family's 1533-position model. The record is from RNAcentral.
GAUGAACGCUGGCGGCGUGCCUAAUACAUGCAAGUCGAGCGAACGGACGAGAAGCUUGCUUCUCUGAUGUUAGCGGCGGACGGGUGAGUAACACGUGGAUAACCUACCUAUAAGACUGGGAUAACUUCGGGAAACCGGAGCUAAUACCGGAUAAUAUUUUGAACCGCAUGGUUCAAAAGUGAAAGACGGUCUUGCUGUCACUUAUAGAUGGAUCCGCGCUGCAUUAGCUAGUUGGUAAGGUAACGGCUUACCAAGGCAACGAUGCAUAGCCGACCUGAGAGGGUGAUCGGCCACACUGGAACUGAGACACGGUCCAGACUCCUACGGGAGGCAGCAGUAGGGAAUCUUCCGCAAUGGGCGAAAGCCUGACGGAGCAACGCCGCGUGAGUGAUGAAGGUCUUCGGAUCGUAAAACUCUGUUAUUAGGGAAGAACAGAUGUGGAAGUAACUGUGCACAUCUUGACGGUACCUAAUCAGAAAGCCACGGCUAACUACGUG